UUGAACAUGAGAGUUUGAUCCUGGCUCAGAACGAACGCUGGCGGCAGGCUUAACACAUGCAAGUCGAACGCUCGCAGCAAUGCGGGAGUGGCAGACGGGUGAG
RNAcentral lists this ribosomal RNA (103 nucleotides) under Pleomorphomonas diazotrophica. RNAcentral describes it as "partial 16S ribosomal RNA". It matches the Rfam family "Bacterial small subunit ribosomal RNA", at positions 1 to 110 of the family's 1533-position model. The record is from RNAcentral. Lineage: Bacteria; Pseudomonadati; Pseudomonadota; Alphaproteobacteria; Hyphomicrobiales; Pleomorphomonadaceae.